This 503-nucleotide ribosomal RNA is filed under the name uncultured bacterium. RNAcentral describes it as "bacterial SSU rRNA". It matches the Rfam family "Bacterial small subunit ribosomal RNA", at positions 28 to 507 of the family's 1533-position model. The record is from RNAcentral.
AAUGAACGCUGGCGGCGUGCCUAACACAUGCAAGUUGAGCGGUAAGGCCCCUUCGGGGGUACACGAGCAGCGAACGGGUGAGUAUCGCGUGGGUAAUCUACCCAGAGGUGGGGGAUAGCCUCGGGAAACCGGGGGUAAUACCGCAUGAGUCCUCGACGACAUAAGUCGACGAGGGGAAAGGCGGGGCUCCUUCGGGACCUGUCGCCUCUGGAUGAGCCCGCGUCCGAUUAGCUUGUUGGUGGGGUAAUGGCCUACCAAGGCAACGAUCGGUAGCCGGCCUGAGAGGGUGAACGGCCACAUUGGGACUGAGACACGGCCCAGACUCCUACGGGAGGCAGCAGUGGGGAAUUUUGGGCAAUGGGGGAAACCCUGACCCAGCGACGCCGCGUGGAGGAUGACGGCCCUCGGGUUGUAAACUCCUGUCAGGUGGGAAGAAGAGCUUGUCGGUUAAUACCCGGCAGGAAUUGACGGUACCACCAAAGGAAGCCCCGGCUAACUCCGUG